AUUGCCCAUUAAUGUGGGACUUUAUUAUUUUCACAAAAUUCACACUAAAAUAUAUUUUGUUACAACAGUUUCCUUCUCUCUCCUCCAUUAGCUACCUCAAACCACCGUCCAGACUCAGCCAGUGAUUGUCGCGGAUCCAUUCGAGAUGUCGGCCUAGCCCAAGCCGCACAACCACCCUAUAAUUUGUGAAAUGGAGGAGAUUAUCAAUUGUCAAGCAGAUUAAGAGAAUUUAUCUACAGGAAUGAAAGAGGAGCAUUCAGAGAUACAAAAAUAGGAAAAGCAUGAUUCGACAAAAGUAUUGGAUUAGGUGUCUUUGAAGUUGAAGAGGAAACUAUUGGUGGAUUAAAUUUUAAUCAUAUUUGAAAUUUUUUGCUAAGUAGAGAGCUCAUAGAUGGUACAUUAGUAUAGAGUAAUUUGGCUUCAUUUGAUAUUAAAAUAAAGUCAGACUGGUUUAGCAUUGUAAUUCAAGUUCAAACCCUUUUGGUUCUUCUUGUAUCGAUUAGUCCUCUUGUACUAAGAAUAGUGCAAAUUUCAGAUGUCAUGUAAUAUUGUAAUUGUUGGGUUUAAGAACACAUCGAAUUUAGUUACUAAUUCAAAUUUGUUAUUAUUA
Chenopodium quinoa (quinoa) is the source of this 610-nucleotide long non-coding RNA. RefSeq lists it as uncharacterized. Lineage: Eukaryota; Viridiplantae; Streptophyta; Magnoliopsida; Caryophyllales; Amaranthaceae. The record is from RefSeq and is a predicted model, not a curated record. The transcript is spliced from 3 exons.